This 254-nucleotide ribosomal RNA is filed under the name uncultured bacterium. RNAcentral describes it as "partial 16S ribosomal RNA". It matches the Rfam family "Bacterial small subunit ribosomal RNA", at positions 524 to 776 of the family's 1533-position model. The record is from RNAcentral.
UACGUAGGGUGCGAGCGUUGUCCGGAAUUAUUAGGCGUAAAGAGCUCGUAGGCGGUGUGUCGCGUCGGUCGUGAAAACUUGGGGCUUAACCCUGAGCUUGCGGUCGAUACGGGCAUCACUGGAGUUCGGCAGGGGAGACUGGAAUUCCUGGUGUAGCGGUGAAAUGCGCAGAUAUCAGGAAGAACACCUAUGGCGAAGGCAGCACUCUGGGACGGUACUGACGCUGAGACGCGAAAGCGUGGGGAGCGAACAGG